This 340-nucleotide RNase P RNA is filed under the name Neoizziella asiatica. RNAcentral's name for it is "Ribonuclease P RNA". It matches the Rfam family "Bacterial RNase P class A", at positions 43 to 352 of the family's 367-position model. From Rfam's summary of the family: Ribonuclease P (RNase P) is a ubiquitous endoribonuclease, found in archaea, bacteria and eukarya as well as chloroplasts and mitochondria. Its best characterised activity is the generation of mature 5'-ends of tRNAs by cleaving the 5'-leader elements of precursor-tRNAs. The record is from RNAcentral. Lineage: Eukaryota; Rhodophyta; Florideophyceae; Nemaliales; Liagoraceae.
GAGGAAAGUCCGGACUCCUUAUAGAAGGUGAUCGUUGGAGAAAUUUCAAUAUAAGUGAUUAUGAGGAUAGUGCCACAGAAAAAUACCACCUUGUUAUAUGUUUAUGUCAAGGUAAGGGUGCAAAGGUGUAUUAAGAGUGCACCAGUAGUAUUGUUGAAAUACUUGCUCGGUAAACCCCAUCGAGGAGCAAAGAGGUAAUACAUUUAUUAUCUAUGAAUCCAUAUUGCAUGGUUUACUUAUAAGUGAAUACCGCAUUAAGUAGCACGUGUGGAUAUGCUACUUAAGAUUAAUAACUGCCCUUUCACCAAUAAGUAAGGUGGAAGAACAAAAUCCGGCUUAU